UACAGAGGGGGCAAGCGUUGUUCGGAAUUACUGGGCGUAAAGGGCGCGUAGGCGGCCUGUUAAGUCGAACGUGAAAUCCCCGGGCUCAACCCGGGAACUGCGUCCGAUACUGGCAGGCUUGAAUCCGGGAGAGGGAUGCGGAAUUCCUGGUGUAGCGGUGAAAUGCGUAGAUAUCAGGAGGAACACCGGUGGUGUAAACGGCUUUCUGGACCGUAACUGACGCUGAGGCACGAAAGCGUGGGUAGCAAACAGG
This 253-nucleotide ribosomal RNA is filed under the name uncultured prokaryote. Its description in RNAcentral is "partial 16S ribosomal RNA". It matches the Rfam family "Bacterial small subunit ribosomal RNA", at positions 524 to 776 of the family's 1533-position model. The record is from RNAcentral.